GCAAGGCCCCCUCCUUCCCUUCGGCUUCCGGUUCUGUCAACCCGGCGCCGUGCCGGAUUCCCGGGUGAGGCACGUGUGCUGCUGAAUGGAGCUGGUGGCCGGCAGCUACGAGCAGGUCCUUUUUGGGUUCACUAUACACCCGGAUCGUAAGGCGAACGGCGACCCCGAGCAGAAAUGGACCUCGGUGGCCGACUUCACUCACCACGCCCACACUGCCUCUUUGUCGGCCGUGGCUGUGAACAAUCGUUUCGUAGUCACUGGCAGCAAAGAUGAAACAAUUCAUAUAUAUGAUAUGAAAAAGAAGACAGAACAUGGGGCCCUAGUUCAUCACAACGGCACCAUAACUUGCCUGAAGUUCUACGGCAGCAGGCACUUAAUCAGCGGAGCCGAAGACGGGCUCAUUUGCGUGUGGGACGCGAAGAAGUGGGAGUGCUUAAAGUCCAUCAGAGCCCACAAAGGACACGUGACCUUUCUGUCCAUUCACCCGUCUGGCAAGUUGGCCCUGUCCGUGGGCACAGAUAAGACACUGAGAACAUGGAAUCUUGUGGAGGGAAGAUCAGCUUUCAUCAAAAACAUAAAACAAAGUGCUCACAUAGUGGAAUGGUCCCCGAGCGGGGAGAAAUACGUCGUCGUCAUCCUGAAUAAGAUCGAUGUCUACCAGCUGCACACCGCGGCCGUCAGCGGCACCAUCACUAAUGAAAAGCGGGUUUCCUCCAUCGCGUUUCUCUCCGACUCUGUCCUCGCGGUGGCUGGAGACGAAGAAGUAGUGAGGUGUUUUGACUGUGAAUCACUGGCGUGCCUCUGUGAAUUUAAAGCGCACGAAAACAGGGUAAAAGAUAUGUUCAGCUUUGAAAUUCCAGACCAUCAUGUUCUUGUUACAGCAUCGAGUGACGGUUUCAUCAAAAUGUGGAAGCUUAAGCACGAUAAGAGCGUCCCGCCGUCUUUACUGUGUGCAGUCAGCACUCAGGCCAGGCUGACCUGUCUCGGGGUGUGGAUAGACAGAGCGGCAAACACAAAAGCGGGCCUGUGUCCUCCAGCGGAGCCCUCUCCCGUAAGUGAGGAAGAACAGACCAGGACCAGCCAAAAGGAACCUGGUGACGUGGGCCAGGAAGGGGCAGCGUCCAAACCGAAGUCACAGAAACGUGCCUUAGCUGGUGGCAGCGCUAAGCCAGCCACAGGGAGCAGCCCUGGGCCAGAGAAGAGGAAGACAGGGGAAAUGCUGGAAAAGAAGAGAAAAAAGAAGAAAAUAUAAUGUACAAUGAGCCCCAGAUUGCUCCUCCAAAGGACUCAUUUAGAUGAAAUAACUAUUUUCAAAUACAUCUAAAUUUUUUACUAUUUCUGAGUAAAAGCAAGGAAUAUUUUCUUUGGAAGAAAAUGAGUAGCCUUUAAAGAAACCACUUUUAGAUUGGCACACAGACGUAAGAAACAGGAAUCUGAUGUCCCUAAAUACGGCACAGUAUCACAACACUGAUGGAGCAAAUGACAAUAGGAAGAUACAGAACAUUGCUUUCAUCCUCAGGGAUUGCCUGGGAGUGCAGCUUCCGGUUCCUGGGGUGUUUCCUGGUUAGCUCUUUAAGAAGAAACCAGAGUUCUAGAACAGCUGUGUGAUUUUACAUUUCUACCGGCAAUGUGUACGUGAUACACUUUCGGCAUCUUUCCAGUAGUUUGUGUCACUCUUGGUCAUCCUGUUUCCUGGAGAGAGUCGCAGGAAGGCUACUGGGGCGGAGGACCGUGGUACACGCAUGUAACUUGGGGUUUAGGGAACAUGGCUCCUCCACUAGGCCCGAGCUCUACCUGUGGCUUCUGCUUGCUGUGGUUUUUUCCACUUGCUUCUCCCUGUGGGGUUUAAAUGACUUUGUAGCUGCAGUUCCAGCCCGAGCCUUUCUGUCCAGCGGCUCCUGGGGCCGCAGCUCAAGUCAGAUCGCACAGUUCACACUCAGAAUUUCACUAUGAAGCCUGACCCCGAGAGCCAGUGGACACUUUUCCCCGUCCUCUGGCUGUGGUGCAGGUGAGUCGACCUGACCCGCACCGUCCCUCGCACUGUUUGGCUCCGUGCAGUUAGCUCAACAAGUUCAGUACUUCCAGAAGCUGCUUAGUCUCAUUUAGCAGCAGAAAGUGGGAGGGGCAGGGUGAACCCCAAGCAGCCUGUGAUCUGCAAGAUGACUCUGCAGGUCAUCUUGCUUCUGUCUGCUGACCCACCCUCAUUCCUGACUUCAUCUGCUGAUCCACUCAGGACACGUUUAUUGAUAAAGCGUCUCUGUCUGUCUGUCUCUCUGGUGUAUUUUGUUUCUUUGAGGCAGGGUCUCACAAAUGUAACCCAGGCUGUCGUUGAACUUGCAGAGAUGCUUCUGCCUCAGCCUUCCCAGUGCUGAGAUUAUAGAGUUUAUUUUGAUUGUGGAGGUGGUAGAGAUUGAAUCCAAAGCUUCACACAUGAUAAACAAGCCCUCUCCCAUUGAAGCACACUGCCAACCCCUAGGUUGCAGCUGCCAGUGGAAGAUCAAGGAAGGCUUACAGGACGUGAGGGAGUGAGCAGAGAAGGUUCCAGGCACCUGAAGGAGCACUUUGGAGGAAGAAGUCCGUGGCAACAAAAACAGGGAAGGGAGCAGGCACUGAGGCUGGGGGUCCAUGUGCAGGCUUUGCAAGCCAAAGCUUGAGGGAAAGGCGCCACCAAAGGCUUUUCUGGGCACAGGAAAGAACUGGAUUUGAACCUAGGUCUGAGAACAGACUGAAGGAUUACAGCACUUGGGAGCUCCCUCUGAUCUCCACGUGUGGAUCAGGAAACAGUCUUAGUCCUCCUGAGUGGGACUGCUGUAAAGGCUGGAUGGAUGCUCUUCAGUUUCCAGUAUACAGUCGCCCGGCAUAUGCCUUUGCUAAUGCUCUUACAGCUCUGAUACAGGAGAUGGAGAAGUGCCUGGCAAUAGGGAAGGCUGACAAAAUGGGGAAUUUCUUCAUAAUCUUACUUAGUAAUUCCUUGGGAAAAGGUGUAUUGAAUGGAUGAUCUUGGUUUCUAAUAAAGCUAUAAACUAUUAAAAGAA
Molecule: RNA transcript, 3035 nt
Organism: Cavia porcellus (domestic guinea pig)
Lineage: Eukaryota; Metazoa; Chordata; Mammalia; Rodentia; Caviidae
Gene: Pak1ip1
Gene name: PAK1 interacting protein 1
Exons: 11
Source: RefSeq, a predicted model, not a curated record